UCNUCUGGCUUAACUGGGGGCUUGCGGUGGGUACGGGCCGGCUUGAGUGCGGUAGGGGAGACUGGAACUCCUGGUGUAGCGGUGGAAUGCGCAGAUAUCAGGAAGAACACCGGUGGCGAAGGCGGGUCUCUGGGCCGUUACUGACGCUGAGGAGCGAAAGCGUGGGGAGCGAACAGGAUUAGAUACCCUGGUAGUNCACGCCGUAAACGUUGGGCACUAGGUGUGGGGGGCCUUUUCCGGGUCUUCCGCGCCGUAGCUAACGCGUUAAGUGCCCCGCCUGGGGAGUACGGCCGCAAGGCUAAAACUCAAAGGAAUUGACGGGGGCCCGCACAAGCGGCGGAGCAUGCGGAUUAAUUCGAUGCAACGCGAAGAACCUUACCAAGGCUUGACAUGUGCCGGUCGGCUCCGGAGACGGGGUUUCCUCCUUGUGGGGCCGGUUCACAGGUGGUGCAUGGUUGUCGUCAGCUCGUGUCGUGAGAUGUUGGGUUAAGUCCCGCAAGGAGCGCAACCCUUGUCCCGUGUUGCCAGCACGUUGUGGUGGGGACUCGCGGGAGACUGCCGGGGUCAACUCGGAGGAAGGUGGGGAUGACGUCAAAUCAUCAUGCCCCUUAUGUCUUGGGCUUCACGCAUGCUACAAUGGCCGGUACAGAGGGCUGCGAUACCGUGAGGUGGAGCGAAUCCCUUAAAGCCGGUCUCAGUUCGGAUCGGUGUCUGCAACUCGACACCGUGAAGUUGGAGUCGCUAGUAAUCGCAGAUCAGCAACGCUGCGGUGAAUACGUUCUCGGGCCUUGUACACACCGCCCGUCACGUCAUGAAAGUCGGCAACACCCGAAGCCCGUGGCCCUACGGGGAGCGGUCGAAGGUGG
RNAcentral lists this ribosomal RNA (866 nucleotides) under uncultured bacterium. Its description in RNAcentral is "bacterial SSU rRNA". It matches the Rfam family "Bacterial small subunit ribosomal RNA", at positions 600 to 1465 of the family's 1533-position model. The record is from RNAcentral.